Molecule: ribosomal RNA, 449 nt
Filed under: uncultured bacterium
Lineage: Bacteria
Description: partial 16S ribosomal RNA
Rfam family: Bacterial small subunit ribosomal RNA
Source: RNAcentral
AAUGAACGCUGGCGGCAGGCCUAACACAUGCAAGUCGAACGGAUCCUUCGGGAUUAGUGGCGGACGGGCGAGUAACGCGUGGGAACAUACCCUUUGGUACGGAAUAGCCUCGGGAAACUGGGAGUAAUACCGUAUGUGGUCGAGAGACGAAAGAUUUAUCGCCAAAGGAUUGGCCCGCGUUGGAUUAGGUAGUUGGUGGGGUAAUGGCCUACCAAGCCGACGAUCCAUAGCUGGUUUGAGAGGAUGAUCAGCCACACUGGGACUGAGACACGGCCCAGACUCCUACGGGAGGUAGCAGUGGGGAAUCUUAGACAAUGGGGGAAACCCUGAUCUAGCCAUGCCGCGUGAUCGAUGAAGGCCUUAGGGUUGUAAAGAUCUUUCAGGUGGGAAGAUAAUGACUGUACCACCAGAAGAAGCCCCGGCUAACUCCGUGCCAGCCGCCGCGGUAA